Molecule: non-coding RNA, 26 nt
Filed under: Homo sapiens (human)
Lineage: Eukaryota; Metazoa; Chordata; Mammalia; Primates; Hominidae
Source: RNAcentral
UAUUGGUGAUGGGAGUGAUAACCUUU